This 512-nucleotide ribosomal RNA is filed under the name uncultured Enterobacteriaceae bacterium. RNAcentral describes it as "bacterial SSU rRNA". It matches the Rfam family "Bacterial small subunit ribosomal RNA", at positions 1004 to 1515 of the family's 1533-position model. The record is from RNAcentral. Lineage: Bacteria; Pseudomonadati; Pseudomonadota; Gammaproteobacteria; Enterobacterales; Enterobacteriaceae.
AGAUAGAGUGGUGCCUUCCGGAGCUAUGAGACAGGUGCUGCAUGGCCGUCGUCAGCUCGUGUUGUGAAAUGUUGGGUUAAGUCCCGCAACGAGCGCAACCCUUAUCCUUUGUUGCCAGCACGUAGAGGUGGGAACUCAAAGGAGACUGCCGUUGAUAAAGCGGAGGAAGGUGGGGACGACGUCAAGUCAUCAUGGCCCUUACGACCAGGGCUACACACGUGCUACAAUGGCGUAUACAAAGGGAGGCGACCUCGCGAGAGCAAGCGGACCUCAUAAAGUACGUCUAAGUCUGGAUUGGAGUCUGCAACUCGACUCCAUGAAGUCGGAAUCGCUAGUAAUCGUGAAUCAGAAUGUCACGGUGAAUACGUUCCCGGGCCUUGUACACACCGCCCGUCACACCAUGGGAGUGGGUUGCACCAGAAGUAGAUAGCUUAACCGCAAGGGGGGCGUUUACCACGGUGUGGUCCAUGACUGGGGUGAAGUCGUAACAAGGUAACCAAGGGCGAAUUCUG